This 217-nucleotide long non-coding RNA is filed under the name Gallus gallus (chicken). Lineage: Eukaryota; Metazoa; Chordata; Aves; Galliformes; Phasianidae. The record is from RNAcentral.
CAAGUUUUCAGCGGCCCAUGAGUUGGAAGUUUUGAAUUUAUAGCUUGUGUAGUCAGAGGAUACCUCUUCACUCCGAAGCUUAUCCUGUAAGUGAGCAAUCUCUGCUGUGUACCUCACUUCACUGUCUUUCAGUUGUUGUUGGAAAUAAGACCUGAGGUGCUCCACCUCUUGAGCAUGUUGUUCUUCAAGUUGUGUUUUAACAUUCUCCAUCUCCUUC